CCCAGAGAAGGGAUCGACUUACCCAUCAUGCCACAGAGAUUAAUUGGCCCCAGAAUUCUUUAGCAGACCGUGUAUAUGAACGUCCUUUGCAAUCAUAUAAAUUAACUGGGAAAACCUCAUUUAGUAUGUUACAUGCCUAGCGUUUUGUGCCUGAACACCUUACAAGAACCAGGGACUAUUGCCCCAAUAUUAUAUUUCAGGAAAGGAAGGCCCAGACAAAUGGUGUCACUGGUCCACUUUCACCCAGUUGGUAAAUGAAACCAGAAAUUAUAGCUGUACCACAGAAAGGUGAAAACGUUUCUUUUAUAAUUUCACAUACAAUCUUUAAUGGACCCAGUGUCCAACACAUUAAAGCAAGUGCUCAGGAGUGACAUCAAGAUGUAAAAAAUAGUCCUGUCCUCAGGGAGUUUAGGUCUUGGAGAAAAGAGACCCAAGGAGACACAAGACAAAGGGGAAAGAGAAGGAGCGCUGAAGACUGAGGACCCUGCCUGUGGACUGAAGUGAGGAUGGGGACACCCGAUGCCCGGAAUAUGACAGUUUGGAGGGGCCUGAAGGACUCUUCUAUUCUCUAUCAGAAAAACAGAAUUACUCUCCUAACCAGAAAAGGUAUUUCAAUUUAUAUUUUCCAUCACAGCACUUUUCUGGUGAUAAUUUAAUGUGUUUUAAAAAAUGUAUCACAGUGAUGGCCUGGUGUGAAAUAAAUAAUAAAAUUUUAAGAAUUAAAAAAUAUAAAAAUCUUUUAUAUAGACAUUAGGAGUUACAAGGAUAACUGUGAAUUAUAAUUAGUAAUUAAAUUGAAAUACUGAUUAUUUUCAUUUUUAUUUAAUUAUUUAAUAAAACCUAUUUAACAUUUAAUAUUUAUCAGUAAUUAAAUCUAAUUGUUAAUAUUUAUUAUUAUAAAUUAUUUUAGAAUUAAAAAUAAGUGUAGAAGCGAGGCAUGGUGGCUCAAGCCUGUAAUCCCAACACUUUGGGAGGCUAAGGUGGGAGGAUUGCUUGAGCCCAGUAGUUCAAGACCAGCCUGGGCAACAUGGAGAAACCCUGUCUCAAUACAAAAAAAUGAGCCAUGUGUGGUGGUGCGUGCCUGUAGUCCCAGCCAUUCUGGAGGCUGAGGUGGGAGGAUGACUUGAGCCUAGGCAGUCAAGGCUGCAGUGAGCCCUGAUCUUGCCACUGCACUCCAGUCUGGGCAACAGAGCAAGACCCUGUGUCAAUAUACAUAUGGACAAACUUAAAAUUUAAAAUGAAAGCAUACUACUGAUACAGAAUUGAGUAGAGAUGCAAAGCUAGUCCUAUAACCAGAACAAUAAAGAUAAAAAGGAGAGUGGAAGAAGGUAUGUCAUGAAUUUCAUGAUAAAUGGCAAUUGCAAAUAUCCUGUAGCAGAACAAAACAACAAAACUGUAGAUAAAACAUAUCCAACCCUUUGGAAGGCCAAGGAGGGAGGAUUGUUUGAGCCCAGAAGUUGGAGACCAGCCUGGGCAACAUAGUGAGACCCUGUAUCUAAAAAGGAAGAAAGAAAAAAAAAAAAAGGAUGAUAAAGUAGACAAUAUUGAAAGCCAUUUUCUGCAAAUACAUAGUGAAUUUGAUCAGUAAUUUUCUUCCAACAGUGCAAAAAUGAAUAGAUAUUAGUUGCCUGAAAUAAAAAUCAAAUAUCCAACAAAAAAUAUUGACUAUCUAAUAGUAUCUAAGCUAGUAAAUUUGGCCAGUUAUAAAAUGUCUUAAAUUUUUAUUUAAAAAAAGAAAACCAUAUUUAUAAGAAGAGGUGAUAAAGAGAAAUUAUUUCAGUUAUGAAGAUUUUGUUAGAAAACUAUGAGAAAAAAACUAUUUUUUGUUUUCAAAAAGUGAAAGAUUAAGUUACCAAACAGUUGCUAAAGAAUACCAGAUGGCUGAGCGUGGUGACUUAUGCCUGUAAUCCCAGUACUUUGGAAGGCCAAGGCAGGAGGAUCAUUUUAGGCCUGGAGUUCGAGACCAGCCUGGGCACUGUAGCAAGACCCGUCUCUAUUAAAAAAAAAAAAAAAAAAAAAAAAGAAUACAAGACCUUGCUAACAAUAGCAAAGAUCAAUUAAUUCAAAAUUUGAAAAACUGUAAUUUAUUUAGCUUUAGAGUACUCUCGUGAUAUGAGAUUGCCAAAUUAAUACUUUGGGUGCAUUUCUUUUCUCAAAGGACUUGCAAAUUUACAAAGAAGUGUUGAAGAAAAGCCACACAUUGGCAGGUAAUGUUUGCAAAAGACAGAUCUGAUGAAGAACAAUAUUUUUAGAAUAUACAAAGAAUACUUAAAACUCAACAGUAAGAAAAUAACCUGAUUUAAAGCAGGCCAAUGACCUGAACAUCUGUUCACCAAAGAAGAUACACAGAUGCAAGUAUGCAUAUGAAAAGAUGCUUGACAUCAUGUCAUUAGGGAACUGCAAAUUAAAACAAGUAGAUACCACUGCAUACCUAGUAGAAUGACCAAAAUUUAGAACACUGUCAGCACCAAAGGUUGCAAAGAUAUGUAGCAAUAGUAACUUGUUCAUUACUGGUGAGAAUGCAAAAUGUGCAAUCACUUUGGAAGACAGUUUGGUGGUUUCUUACAAAAGUAACCAUACUUUUACCAUAAGAUUCACCAAUCACACUCCUUAGUAUUUAUCCAAAGGAAUUGAAAACUUAUCUCCACACAAAAACCUGCACAUAGAUGUUUAUAGCAGCUUUAUUCAUAAUUUAUCCAAAACUUGGAAACAAGAUGUCUUUCAGUAGGUAAGUGGAUAACUGUGGUACUUCUGAAUAAUGGAAUGUUAUUUAGAGUUAAAAAGAAAUGCAUUCACUUUGGGAGGCCGAAGUGGGUGGAUUGCUUGAGGCCAGGAGUUUGAGACCAGCCUGGUCAACAUGGGAAAACCCCAAUUAGCCGGGCAUAGUGGCGUGAGCCUGUAAUCCCAGCUACUCGGGAGGCUGAGAUAUGAGAAUCGUUUGAACCUGGGAGAUGGAGGUUGCAGUGAGCCAGUGCCACUGCACUUCAGCCUGGGCAACAGAGCAAGACUCCUCUGUCUCAAAAAAAAAAAAAAAAAGAAAGAAAAGAAAAAAGAAAAAGAAAAAGAAAAGAAACGAUCAAGCCAUGAAAACACAUGAAGGAAACUUAAAUGUAUGUUACUAAAAAGCCAACCUGAAAAGACUGCAUACUAUAUGACUCCAACUGAUGCAGGGCAAGCAAGCCAAAAAUUAGGGCUUAGCCCGGGAAGAAUUCAAGGGUGAAGUGGUGGUGUUAGCAACUUUUACUGAAGCAGCAGUGUACAACAGCAGAACAGGUACUGCUCCUUGCUGAGCAGGGCUAACCCAUAAGUAAUGUGCCCAGAGUAGCAGCUCAGGGGCAGUUCUGCAGUAAUAUACCUGCUUUUAGUUAAGUGCAUGUUAAGGGGGAUUAUGCAGAAAUUUCUAGAAAAAGAGUGGUAACUUCGGAGUAGGUACAGAGGAAAGAAGUCGAUAAUGUCCUGUUGUUGCCAUGGCAACGAAAAACUGACAUGGCGCUGGUGGGCGUGUCUUAUGGAGAGGUGCUUUAACCUCGUCCCUGUUUCGGCUAGUCUUCAAUCUGGUCCGGAGUAAAGUCCCUGCCUCCGGAGUGGGCUCUUUGGGUGAUAGUUAGGUUUAGUUGAGAUCCUAGCAGAUCGAGUCUUCAUGAUGGGCAUGAUGGGACUGGUCCCUUAUAAGAAAAGACCAGAAAGCUAGCUCUCUCUUUGCCAUGUGAAGACAUAGCAGGAAGGUAGCCAUCUGCAAGCUAGGAAAGGGCCUUCACAAAGAAUCAACUCAGACCUCAGAACAGUGAGAGAUAAAUUGUCGUUGUUUAAGUCACUCAGGCUGUGGUAUUUUGUUUCAGCAGCCCAACCUAAGACUGUUAAUUGGAUUAGAAAUUUCCUUUUGGGGAUGGUGUGUGGCGGGCGGGGGGCGGGGAGUACCUUUGUUAAGCUUUUAUAUCAAUGAGUUUGUAGGCUUUUCUUUUUUGGUCAUUGACUAGGACAGUUUAAAUAGUAUGAGUGUGAAGGAGAUUGUUGGUCAUCUAUUCGAUGUCCCUUCUCUGUUUUUUAAUAUGAGAACUCCUGAUUUUCAGCCAACUACCCUGGAAAAAAAGCUAAUCUUUCUGACUUCUUAAGUGUGGCCAUGUACUAAAUUCUGGCUAAUGCAAGGCAAGCCAAAGGUUUUAUGAUAGGUUUUAGGACACUAGAGUAAAAGAGAGCUGUUGCACACAUGCUCUUCACCCUACUUUUGUGUCCUUUUUUCCAUCCUACAACUUGGGUUGUGAGUAUGAUGGCUGGAACUUUAGUGGCUCUCUUGGAUCCCAGGGGUAAUUGAGGGGUGGCUGGAAGGAAUCUGUGAUUUUCUGGAGUUUCCAUACACAAACAAGACCUGGAUUUUCUGGGCUUCCCAGACUUCCACAUCUAGACUUGCUUUAAAUGGGAGAGAAAUAAACUUGUUUCAGCCACUGUCAUUUUGGGCUAUUUUAUAGAACUUAAUCUAAUCUUCAAGGGUACAUGAAUUGCUUUUCCUUAAAAAAAAAAUCAGCCAUAAAAUCAUCUUCUUUUUUCUUUUGUUCCCCACAUUAUUUAGUUGGAGCUCUGUAACUUUUUUUUUUUUUUUUUUUGAGACAAGGUCUUGCUCUGUCACUUAGGCUGGAAUUCAGUGGCAUGACCAUGGCUCACUGCAGCCUUGCCCUCCUAGGCUCAAGCAAUCCUCGUCUCAGCCUCCUGAGUAGCUGAAACUAAGGCACAUGCCACCAUGCCCAGCUAAUUUCUUUUCUUUUAGAGAUGGGAGCCUUGCCCAGGCUAGUCUCAAACUCCUAGCCUCAAGUGAUCCUCCCAUCUCAGCCUCCCAAAGUGACAGGAUUACAGGUGUGAGCCACCAUGCCUGGCUGCUCUGUAAGUGUCUGAAUUUCAUUUUGUAUUUAUCAGUCUGUUUAGAUUUUCUUUCCCUUCUUGGGUCAGUUAGGCCAUUGGUUUCUUUUUAAAGGUUUUCAAAUUUAUUUGCAUCUAAUUCUUCAAAUUACUCUCAAAAUUAUUCCAGUAUAUAUUCUUUUGUUCCUAUUUUCUUCUGUAUUCUUUAUUAAAAUAGCUAAUGAUUUAUCUAGCAGGACUUAUAUUCUUUCCAUAACUUUCCUGCACCCCAAUUAAUCUCCAAUUUUAUAUUUCUUCUGGCCUUCCUUAUAGUUUCCACAGGUUUAUUUUAUUCAUUUUUUAAAACUUUUAUUUAAUUGUUUAUUUUAUUAUCAUUCUUUCUUAUUCAGCAAUCUAAGUGCUUAGGGAUAUAGAAUUUCCUCUAAGCAGCAUAUGCUAGGCUUUAACAAUGUUAGGGAGGCCUCCCCUUUCUGGGGAAGACCACACUUACAUUAACACAGGACUGUGGGAUGCCAAGAGGUAGAGAAGAGCUUAUGAAUAUCCAGAUUACAUCUUCACUGAUCCUGCACAAAGGUGGGGUUCCUCGGUUACCCACUGGGUCCUAUUACCCAAGUCUGGGUCAGCAUACCGAGACUACGGGUAUAUAGAACAAGUGCAACUGGCGAUAAUCCUUCUGUUGGGGAGAAAAAUCUUUUUUUUCUAUUCAUCUUAGGUUCUCCAUCUGUGGCCCUAUCAAGUAGACUAACAAAAGACAGAUUGACAAGACAGAAACAAAGCAUGUGCAUUGUACAAACACAGGGGAGUACUGAGAUGAAUACUCAAAAGAGGAUUUAGAACUUGGGCUUAUAUAGCAUUUUAAGAAAAGAAUACAUUUUUUAAGUGACAAGGAAGACGAAAAGGACUUUGAGUUUCUAGUGCAGUAAAUUGUGGGAAGGCAACUUUUUCUUUCCCUUUUUUUUUUUUUUUUUUUAAAAAAAAAGACUUCUCUGGUGCUAUGUCCAGGCUGAUAAGAGUCUAAAGUCUCUGGUGACUAACUUUUGUUCUUCCCCGAGUAAGAAGACACCUUCACAAUUUCAUAUCCUGCUUUUAGGCAAAUAGGGAGAGGGCAGAGGUGUUUGUUUGUUUUUAAUCUAUUUUUUUUCUCAAUUGUCUUCAACUCAAAAUACUUCUUAUGCCAAAGAUGGCAUAUUCUGCUACCCUUCACUUACUACUUACAACCCAGCCUCUAUCAUCAUAAUUAGAACUUCUGACCCUGGGGAACAUGGGCAAUAGUUUGAACUCUUUUAUAUCUCCCUUAGGCAGAGAUGGAGGCACAGCAUGAUCUUGGCUUACUGCAGCUGCUGCAGGCUCAAGCAAUUCUCC
Molecule: long non-coding RNA, 6213 nt
Filed under: Homo sapiens (human)
Lineage: Eukaryota; Metazoa; Chordata; Mammalia; Primates; Hominidae
Description: HSALNT0102805
Source: RNAcentral